This 498-nucleotide ribosomal RNA is filed under the name uncultured bacterium. Its description in RNAcentral is "partial 16S ribosomal RNA". It matches the Rfam family "Bacterial small subunit ribosomal RNA", at positions 30 to 523 of the family's 1533-position model. The record is from RNAcentral.
AUUGAACGCUGGCGGCAUGCCUUACACAUGCAAGUCGAACGGUAACAGGUCUUCGGACGCUGACGCGUGGCGAACGGGUGAGUAAUACAUCGGAACGUGCCCAGUCGUGGGGGAUAACUACUCGAAAGAGUAGCUAAUACCGCAUACGAUCUGAGGAUGAAAGCGGGGGACCGUCGGUCCUCGCGCGAUUGGAGCGGCCGAUGGCCGAUUAGGUAGUUGGUGGGAUAAAAGCGGACCAAGCCGACGAUCUGUAGCUGGUCUGAGAGGACGACCAGCCACACUGGGACUGACACACGGCACAGACUCCUACGGGAGGCAGCAGUGGAGAAUUAUGGACAAUGGGCGAAAGCCUGAUCCAGCAAUGCCACGUGCAGGAAGAAGGCCUUCGGGUUGUAAACUGCUUUUGUACGGAACGAAAAAGCUUCUCCUAAUACGAGAGGCCCAUGCCGGUACCGUAAGAAUAAGCACCGGCUAACUACGUGCCAGCCGCCGCAGUAA